AUUCCUACGGGAGGCAGCAGGGGGGAAUAUUGGACAAUGGGCGCAAGCCUGAUCCAGCCAUGCCGCGUGUGUGAAGAAGGCCUUCGGGUUGUAAAGCACUUUUGUUGGGAAAGAAAAGCGGUCGGUUAAUACCCGGUCGUUCUGACGGUACCCAAAGAAUAAGCACCGGCUAACUUCGUGCCAGCAGCCGCGGUAAUAAU
Molecule: ribosomal RNA, 200 nt
Filed under: uncultured bacterium
Lineage: Bacteria
Description: partial 16S ribosomal RNA
Rfam family: Bacterial small subunit ribosomal RNA
Source: RNAcentral